This 73-nucleotide transfer RNA is filed under the name Trachelomonas grandis. RNAcentral describes it as "tRNA-Arg". It matches the Rfam family "tRNA". From Rfam's summary of the family: Transfer RNA (tRNA) molecules are approximately 80 nucleotides in length. The record is from RNAcentral. Lineage: Eukaryota; Euglenozoa; Euglenophyceae; Euglenales; Euglenaceae.
GUCACAGUCGCCUAAUGGAUUGGGCAUUAGCCUUCUAAGCUAAUAUGUAUAGGUUCGAUUCCUAUCUGUGAUG